AUUGAACGCUGGCGGCAGGCUUAACACAUGCAAGUCGAGCGGGGUGAUGGUGCUUGCACUAUCACUUAGCGGCGGACGGGUGAGUAAUGCUUAGGAAUCUGCCUAUUAGUGGGGGACAACAUCUCGAAAGGGAUGCUAAUACCGCAUACGUCCUACGGGAGAAAGCAGGGGAUCACUUGUGACCUUGCGCUAAUAGAUGAGCCUAAGUCGGAUUAGCUAGUUGGGGGGGUAAAGGCCUGCCAAGGCGACGAUCUGUAGCGGGUCUGAGGGGAUGAUCCGCCACGCUGGGACUGGGACACGGCCCAGAAUUCUACGGGAGGCAGCAGGGGGGAAUAUUGGACAAAGGGGGGAACCCUGAUCCAGCCAUGCCGCGUGUGUGAAGAAGGCCUUAUGGUUGUAAAGCACUUUAAGCGAGGAGGAGGCUUACCUAGUUAAUACCUGGGAUAAGUGGACGUUACUCGCAGAAUAAGCACCGGCUAACUCUGUGCCAGCCGCCGCGGUAA
Molecule: ribosomal RNA, 503 nt
Filed under: uncultured bacterium
Lineage: Bacteria
Description: partial 16S ribosomal RNA
Rfam family: Bacterial small subunit ribosomal RNA
Source: RNAcentral